UACGUAGGGGGCUAGCGUUGUCCGGAUUUAUUGGGCGUAAAGAGCGUGUAGGCGGCCAGGUAGGUCCGGUGUGAAAACUCGAGGCUUAACCUCGAGAUGUCAUCGGAAACCAUCCGGCUAGAGUCCGGAAGAGGAAAGUGGAAUUCCUGGUGUAGCGGUGAAAUGCGCAGAUAUCAGGAAGAACACCAAUGGCGAAAGCAGCUUUCUGGGACGGUACUGACGCUGAGGCACGAAAGCGUGGGGAGCAAACAGG
This 253-nucleotide ribosomal RNA is filed under the name uncultured bacterium. Its description in RNAcentral is "partial 16S ribosomal RNA". It matches the Rfam family "Bacterial small subunit ribosomal RNA", at positions 524 to 776 of the family's 1533-position model. The record is from RNAcentral.